Molecule: non-coding RNA, 304 nt
Organism: Paramuricea clavata
Lineage: Eukaryota; Metazoa; Cnidaria; Anthozoa; Malacalcyonacea; Plexauridae
Source: the annotation of a GenBank genome assembly
GCGAAAACAGAGAUUGUAUAGGCCAAGCGAAGAAUACUAUCUUGAUCGGAACAUGUGUUUGUAUCACUGCUAACUGUCUCAUUCCCUGACAAGUUACUUGUGUUUGUCUGUGAUAUAGUCUUGUUUGAAUUAGCCCCGUGUCCGCAAUAAGAUGAGAAAUAUUGUUCACCUUCAAGUAUUUCCAAUAAUUGAGCCCAACCGAAUAUAAGAUAUGUACAGAGAACACUUUCAAAUGCACUCCAUACAACCAAGCAAAGAUGGUAGAUGUGCAUUAUUGAAGUAUUCUGAUUUCUGAAGACCGAAU